UGGGUGAAUUCCUCCUCUCUGCCUUGUG
RNAcentral lists this non-coding RNA (28 nucleotides) under Homo sapiens (human). The record is from RNAcentral. Lineage: Eukaryota; Metazoa; Chordata; Mammalia; Primates; Hominidae.